Long non-coding RNA from Monopterus albus (swamp eel), 173 nucleotides. RefSeq lists it as uncharacterized. The record is from RefSeq and is a predicted model, not a curated record. NCBI's taxonomy places the organism in Eukaryota, Metazoa, Chordata, Actinopteri, Synbranchiformes, Synbranchidae. The transcript is spliced from 2 exons.
GGUUUCCGGCGGCCACAGUCCUUCAGUCCCGCUUCAGCUAUGAAGCGCAAGUUGGGACCUUCAGAAUCUUCAGUGGAGAAAUAUUUCAGUACAUCGAUGCUGGAGGAUCCCUGGGCAGCUCUGCAGCCUGUCGCAGCAGCAGAUGUAGCUACAGCCAGACACACAACAUGAUA